Molecule: long non-coding RNA, 1317 nt
Organism: Hipposideros armiger (great roundleaf bat)
Lineage: Eukaryota; Metazoa; Chordata; Mammalia; Chiroptera; Hipposideridae
Exons: 3
Source: RefSeq, a predicted model, not a curated record
UGUUCCGGGACUUGGGAAAACUCCACGCGUCCAGACAGCUGACAAAUUUUGGGCCUGGGCAGUCGCGCAGGGGGCGCCCCGCGGCGCACCCAGGAGUCUCGGGUCAGGGGGAGCCUCGUGAAUGCAGAGGGCCAGGACAUGAGGAUUGGCCCUGAGGAUUGGUUAGGGCGUCCAUGAGGGGAUCCCCAAAGUUCCAAAGGACACUUUUCCUCCCCUGCAGAACCGGGAAAAGACAGCGGCCUCACCAGGAGCUGGAAACAGAGAAAGGCCGCCUGUGCCAGAGCCUACGGAGUGUUCACCACACCCAGGGACCACUGAAGGGUAGAGGCGCAGGUGUAGAUGGCCAACCGGGAAUAGCUUCGGAGAGGCUCCAAGUCCUGCCAAGGAUGGUAGUUCACGGGGCGGGGUAAGCUCUGAAGCGACCGUCCCCAGGGGAACUGUGAGGAGCCCGGGAAGCCCCACUCUGAAACAAGGCAAGGGGCAGAGCACUCUGCUUACAGGGUCCCAGAGCGGCCCUCCGCCCCCGUAGGGAGAAAACCAUGGAGGGGCCGGCUAGUUACUGUGGGUUGCCUGGCAGUGGGGGCAGAGCUGGUAGAUGCAGGACUCAGUGUGGGGAGGAGCUUGGAACUCUUAGGUUUCUGUGGCUCUAACACUCCUUGAAGGCAAGCCCCUGGGGCACGGAGCAGAGCAAACCCUGGCAGUGCCAGUGCGCACUGACGCCCGGCUCCUCUUGGUGUUCCAUGUGGCAUUGGCAGCAACAGCCCAGGUUGGGGUUUGGGCCCUCAGAGAAGCACUGGUCCACACCCCAGGCUUUCCAAAAGGCAGAGAAGAGGACCCUGGUGGCAGCCUCUUCUACAAUGUCAUGGUCUAUGCUAGAGACCUGCACCCGAGGCCCAAUGCCCGCCUGGUGAUGUCAGGGGCCAUAGUGGAGUGGUACUGUAAGUCCCUUGUGGAGCCCCUGCUUGGGACCACCUCUAAUUUGGAGACUUUGCGGGCCUGACUGAAGCCUCCUUCAUGGCGCUCAGCAACUGCUGAGGCUGUCAAUGAGGGUCGUCCCAGGCUGGACGGAGGACGACAGUGCCUAAGGAAGGACUGUUGGUGAAGGGCGCACCAGCUGAGACAGAGGCGGACGGAAAGGUGGAACGUGUGAGCUGUCUGUUGGCACAGGAUCUGAAGAUAGGCCAGGUCAAUUGCAUGCAUAUCAAGGGGGAAAACAGGAUGUGGCUAUGUGCAAGAGGAUGCAAUUCCCAGGGCUGCCAGCAGAAGAAGGCAGAGUGUACACAGGGGUCUGCUCUUUCCACCUCACCUGCUCUUUUC